Long non-coding RNA from Anas platyrhynchos (mallard), 2164 nucleotides. RefSeq lists it as uncharacterized. The record is from RefSeq and is a predicted model, not a curated record. NCBI's taxonomy places the organism in Eukaryota, Metazoa, Chordata, Aves, Anseriformes, Anatidae.
AGAGGCAAGUUGCCACACAGAGAGAAGCAUGCCCAUCUCGUAUACUUCAAGUACAUUGCUGCCAUUGCUGUCUCUGGGAGAACAUAUGGACGUGGCACCACGUUCACCUUUUUCAUCUCUCAGCAAUUAGAAUUAAAAUGCUGUGUCCAAAGAAGAAGCAAAAAUACUUCAUCUCACUGCAAUACAAUCCCUGAAGAACCACACCAGGACUGCAACAUACUAAACAUUGAAGAUUAUGAAGGACCAUAUGGAACUUACUGCAUCUGAGGAACAUUAACUCUGGAUCAUGUGGAAAAGUCUAAAAUAAGGACAUGACUAAGCUGGCCUCUUUAAUGACUAGAAAAAGAAACAAAAUGGAAAACAUCCACCUUCUAGGCUUCACCCUGUGCAGUGACCUGGAAAAGAAAACCUAUUGGCACCAGCAAUCAAGCUUUCCUGUAUUAUCUUCCCAGGAGGUUGAUUGCACUGUCCUAAAUGUGGGUGACUGCUUGAGGUCCAAAAUUCUUUACACUGGUGCUAUUUCUCUGAAAUCCAAACAUAAUUAGAAAAGCAGAAAUAUACAGUGGUAGCCAGUAUACAGUAUAGCAUACCAUAACAACAGUAAAGAAUUUCCAAUCAAGCUGGGUAAGAAACAAAGCUACCAGCCUGCCAGCUGUGAAUUUCAUGAUUUUCAAGGUACCUUUUACAAAAAAAAAAAAAAAAAAAGUAGCAAAAUGUUUCAGAAAUCAGAAAAUCACUGCAGUAUUACCUUUGUUUCUCCCAAAUGGGCAAUCUUUGCAGUUAUUUCGAAUGCAAAAACCACACAUAUUCUUGAAGUACCACUCACCAGAACUCAUUCUUUUCUGUUCUAUUUUUAAGAAGUUCUGGUUUUGUCUUGCAUGUAUGACUUGAUCAAAGGAUGCUUUAAAAUUAAACUUCUGAAACCAACAACAGCCUUUAUGCAUUCUAAAUAGUUAGGUGAUGUGUUUGUUUCAUUCAUAUUUCUAACUUACUUCACUCUAAAAUUAACAAAGAACAGCAAAUGUUCUUCCAAUAUUAGAAUAUCACACUGACAGAGAGUUUCUCAAUGUUCCCCUCAGAUUUUUAUUCACAUUAGGAUCAAACCAUAAUGUACUGGCUAGUACGGGCAGCGUAUUAUACUAGGCACUGUAUGCACCUGCUUGAAACAGCUCUGGUCCAAAGACUUCACAAUCUGAACAGAGAGGAUAGAGAUGAAUGAGCAACUGUAGGAACAAGAGUGAUUGCUUUCCCUGUACAGGGAAAGAAAAAUAGAGGCAAAUUGGUCUCAAAGUGGGAGAUCAACUCCACAUCUCCACUUUUACUGUUCUGUCUCUUUCACCACAGGACUUUGCAGUACACAUAUGGGGUUUUGUUUAUUUGCUUGCUUGAUGCUUGUUUGUUGUUUCUUUUUUUCUUUCUUUUCUUUUUUUUUUCCCCUCUUCCUUUGUUAUGAUGAAUACAGAAAGAGAUGUAGGGAUUUAAUAAGGUUUGCUCUCAAUGGCAGAUUCCAGCAGGAGAUUAUAGGGAAUAUUUUCUGGGGAAUACAAAUCCAAAGUCUCUGGCCAAAUUUGUGCCUGUCAGCUAACCAGCAAUAUUAUUGUGGUGUUAGCUACCUCACUUGCAGUAUUCACACUGGAAGCAGAGAUCAAACUGUAUGGACAUUUUUCCUUUCAACCUCAAUAAACAAGCAUUCCUGCUGCUUGCACUCCUGUGGGGAAUUCACAUUCAGCAUUAUCAUUUCCAGUUCCUCAGACUACCAAGUAUUGUUGAUGUCCUCUCUAUUUCAUACCAGACAGCAGAGCAGAAGUUGAUUUAUUUAUUUAUUUAUUUUAUCUACAAGCUUGUAAAUCCCCCUGGAGGCCUUAAGGAGGAAACCAUAUCAAGUUAUGUAAGAAAAGAACAGUAAAAUUGACAUGAAAUUUGCGUAUAUCCAUAGUCUUAUAACUGCAGUGAAGGUCAGCUAGUAAUAAAGAUGACAUGUACUUGUCCAUAUUUCACUUUAUAUGCUAAUUCAACACAGCUUUUUUAUUAUAAGGUUUGGAAAAAAUACUUUUCUGUAAUUAUAUGUUGAUCCUUCAUCUUAAUCACAUAAUUUUACAUGGAAACCUUUCUCAAGAAAGAUUGGUUAAUAUUUAUAAAGUGCAUUAAAGAUAAAAGAACUCUA